UGUGUCCUAUCGCCCUGGGAAUGAAUUACAACCCGUUUACAUGGCCCACUGGGCCUUCUACAAUUUGGCUUCUGCUUGCUGCAGCUUUCAGUCUUUGCUCUAGCCAAACCUGUUCACCUCUCCUUCAUGUGCUCUCUCACAAACUGCUUCCUCUGCUAUAAACCCAGUUUUCUGUCACUUCUACCUCACUCCAUGAUUUUAUCUGGCUAACUCCUACUUACCUCUUGAGUCACAGCUUGUCAUUUCUGAGAUAACACUGAAGGUUGAAUUGUCAAAUUCAGAGCACACAGACAAUUGGAACACUCAAAUGAAUCACGAAAAAGUCUGAGCCCAUCAACAAAGUAAUCCAAGUCUGUUCUUGCCAUAUUAGGAUGCAUAUUAGAACAUAUGAGGUUCUAAACGGUGCUUGAAUAAUCUUCACAAAGGGAACCAUUUCCGUUAUGGAGCAUCUCCUUUAUACACCCUGUUAAUUACACAGCUUACAUGACAUUUUCUGAUGAGCUAUAAUUUCAAGUUUGGUUAUAAUAAGCGAAUUAGGUAGAUCAUAGUUAGACCAUCUCAUAGAAAGGACUCCCCGACUCUUGCCUGGAAAAUACCAUUAGGUCUCAUGUUUACAAAGGGAUUUGACUGUGGCAUCUGUUCCUAGGCAUCCCCCAGAGGAAGAAAAUAGAUUCCAGACCUGCUGCUAAUCCUCUCCUUCCCAACUUCCUAAGCCAUUCUUCUCAGUGACAAUUCGAGUGCUACUGCUUGGUGUCACAUCAUUAUAAUCAUGUGAACAAGACCUCAUGAUGCUAUAGUUGCUGCUGGCAGCCAUCUUGUGACCAAAACAAGAAGGGCUUUUAGGAUAAAGGAAACACUCUAGACAGCAGAGGAGAAAGACAAAAACAUCUGUAUCCCUGAUGUCAUAGCUUGAGCCAUGGAAUCAAAUCACCCUGCAGUUGGCUGUUGUACUUCUUGCUAUGUGAAAUA
Long non-coding RNA from Equus caballus (horse), 969 nucleotides. RefSeq lists it as uncharacterized. The record is from RefSeq and is a predicted model, not a curated record. NCBI's taxonomy places the organism in Eukaryota, Metazoa, Chordata, Mammalia, Perissodactyla, Equidae.